Molecule: ribosomal RNA, 459 nt
Filed under: uncultured bacterium
Lineage: Bacteria
Description: partial 16S ribosomal RNA
Rfam family: Bacterial small subunit ribosomal RNA
Source: RNAcentral
CCUACGGGAGGCAGCAGUGAGGAAUAUUGGUAAAUGGGCGAGAGCCUGAACCAGCCAAGUCGCGUGAGGGAAGACGGUCCUAUGGAUUGUAAACCUCUUUUGUCGGGGAGCAAAAGACGCCACGCGUGGCUUUCCGAGAGUACCCGAAGAAAAAGCAUCGGCUAACUCCGUGCCAGCAGCCGCGGUAAUACGGAGGAUGCGAGCGUUAUCCGGAUUUAUUGGGUUUAAAGGGUGCGCAGGCGGAAGAGCAAGUCAGCGGUAAAAUUGAGGGGCUCAACCUCGUCGAGCCGUUGAAACUGGUUUUCUUGAGUGAGUGAGAAGUAUGCGGAAUGCGUGGUGUAGCGGUGAAAUGCAUAGAUAUCACGCAGAACUCCGAUUGCGAAGGCAGCAUACCGGCGCGCAACUGACGCUCAUGCACGAAAGUGUGGGUAUCGAACAGGAUUAGAUACCCUGGUAGUC